AUCCGCCAAAGCGGCUAAUCGGCUACGAUACGCGAAAGCAGCCAAAGAAAUAUUCCGCUUCCGGUAUACAGCCGACGAUGUAGGCGAAGCAGCGCAAUUAGCCGGCAAAGGGAGCAAUAAAAGUAUCGUUAAUCCUUCGAAGCCGCUUCCAACCAUGCGACAAUUGCGCCGGCUAGAGAUAAACCUUGCGGAGAUUCCUCUUGGAAUCAUGGUGUGUUCACAAUUGUAUGUUACUUCUGUGUUUUUCCUCGUGGCAGUGCAAUAUCAGUGGAAAAUAGCAAACGGAGGGAAUUGUUACAAUGGUGUUGGUACUUUUUUUGUUCCUUUUUUCGGUCGUGUUCUUGUCAAGAUGGAUCGCAGGUGGAAUAAUGGAUUUAGCAAGGGGUUGUUUGUCGAGUCAGCGAGCCGGUAGUAGCGGGCGUGGCCAUUCGGAAUCCAGGGAAAUGUUGUCCGAUCGGCAACUACAACGGAUCGUCACCGAGGGAACAUUCCAACAUGCUCGCAAUUGCGCCAGCUCGCGGAUUACAAGGAAAAUCACGGCCCCAGGUCCUGGUCAGAUUCUGUUGCGAAAGCAAACACGCGUUUCUGUUAUUCUAUCAACUGCGAACCAACGGCCCAUAUGUAUAAGCAGGGCUGCCCGAUAUUUUAUUGACCCUUUUCCAGCUUAAAUACACAACCGGCGAAAACAAGUAGACACGUCGUGCCCGGUUGCGUUUCAUCGCGGUUCAACUGAUAUCCUACGUGGAAUUAUUGGAGAGAGAACAAAAGGAAAAACGCAAUGCCUGUUUCGAUUAAUGGCUCGCUGCUAUAAAUAUUUUGUUUAAUAAUGUAUACACA
RNAcentral lists this unclassified non-coding RNA (837 nucleotides) under Bombus terrestris (buff-tailed bumblebee). RNAcentral describes it as "misc RNA ENSBTSG00005020037.1". The record is from RNAcentral. Lineage: Eukaryota; Metazoa; Arthropoda; Insecta; Hymenoptera; Apidae.